Molecule: transfer RNA, 73 nt
Filed under: Erinaceus europaeus (western European hedgehog)
Lineage: Eukaryota; Metazoa; Chordata; Mammalia; Eulipotyphla; Erinaceidae
Rfam family: tRNA
About the family: Transfer RNA (tRNA) molecules are approximately 80 nucleotides in length.
Source: Rfam by way of RNAcentral
GGGGAGAUAGCUUGACAGGUAGAGUGCAGAACUUGUAUGCCUGAGGCCCCAGGUUCCAAGCCUGGUGUUACCA